This is a long non-coding RNA of Oreochromis niloticus (Nile tilapia), 2540 nucleotides long. RefSeq lists it as uncharacterized. The record is from RefSeq and is a predicted model, not a curated record. The transcript has 2 exons. Lineage: Eukaryota; Metazoa; Chordata; Actinopteri; Cichliformes; Cichlidae.
AUCCACAGAUUCAGACAGAACCACGGGCUGUUUGUCAGUACUGAAGUACGCAGGUCCGUACUUCGUAAUGUCACACGGGAGUCAAGACUUCCAGAGAACACAGUGCGAUUGUUCUACAAUAUUUGCAAUACAAAAUGACAGAUGACAUAAAACAAUUCCACGUGAUGUAGUAGAUUUCUUUAAGAAAAAAAAGAUACUUUUUUAAAGUCCUUUGGCAAAAUUCACUUUUGCGUAUCAUCUGUUUCAUAAUGUCUAAUAAGCCUCAUACAGUUAAACUCAAUCACUACAUGACAGAAUCACAAGCUUCUCUUAAUAAACAUAGUACACAUGUAUGCCUGAAUAAAAACAAACAGGUGAGAUGUUAGAACGCUUUUAUUUUAGUAAACACUCAAACUUACAACAGACAGCUGCUGGGGUUUGGAAGAGAACUGAACAAAUGUUUAAAAUAUAAUCUGAUCAUUGUUGGAGCCGCCUUCAGGAUCUCCACGUAUUAACAUCUGUUUUUGUUCCCGGGCAAAAUGUUUCCCAGAUAUUUGAAGGUUACACAGCUACAUUCUCGCCUGAAAAUAUCUUAAAGGGUUUUUUUGUGUCACAGAAACAGUCAUGUUUCAAACCUUUUAGCCGCUCUACUCCGCCAUUGCUGCGUUUGAGUUUUGGACGAAAUGCAUUCUGGGAAAUUUGGCUGCACUAAGUCCACACUUUCAUACAUUACGGGGUUUUUCCUGUGAGCCGGAGCCAAAGUAGCACGGCUGUCACUGAGGUUAAAAAUUUUAUCCCAGGUUCUGGUAUUUUGUGUUUGUGAUAUACAGACACUGCAGACACAGCUGGAGGACCGAGCUUUGGGCUGUUUGGUUGAAUGUGAUCCUCGGAGUAGAGAUUAGAGCAAAGUGAGCUGCAGCUGCUCUGUGUACUGUGCAGUCGUCCUGUUUUUGGUUCAGAUGCUGUAACCACCUAUGAUCACCAAACACGUCUAAAUCCCAGUUUGACAGUGACCAAGAUAAUCCAACAAUUUACCAGUCAAAGCAGCCGUAUGUACGUGGAAAUUACGCUGGUUACCCAGCGUUCUCUCCCCAGAAGAUGCCAGAGGAGGAGCGGGGAGGUGUGCCAGUGCGGGUCAGAACUCACCUGAAACCUCUGAUCGUCGCCCUUGGGGUGAUGGUUUUCGACACUUGGAAACUGUUGGGGUAUCUGUGGAAUUCAGGCCAAUUGCUUCACCGGCCAUCAUGGAGCAUCCCACACAUGGUGGGGGAUGUGGGACUGUGGAGGUGGUCCCGCUGGAACGGGACGCGGCCUCAGCGUGCAACGAUCCAAAUGGCUCUGUUGAAUACUAGAUCACUAGCUAACAAAACUUUCCUUCUCAGGGACUUUUUUUUCCGUCCCGGACUUGGACUUUCUGUGUUUAACUGCGACGUGGCUUCAUGCUGGUCUCGGCAGAUCUUUCAAGCUGCGGCAGGUUGGAGUUGGGUCUGCUGUUGUCUGGAUGUGACACGGGUAUAUCAGACUGUUUCCUGUUUUCAGCCCCAGCUCUGCAAUAAAGCUAGCGUCCUCUGUGAGACGUGUGCACAUAGUCCUUCAAGUGUUGCAGAUUUUCUCACUGCUUUUAAAAACUAUGACUUUUGGACUUCCACGCAAGCUUGACUACCGAGGACCGUAUUUCCCUGCACUGCUGUAUUGGCUGUAUUUUUUGCCCCUUUUAUAACCAAAUGGACUAAACCGUCCUGUCAGGCCUUGUUGGUGAGUCGACCAGCGCUCUAAGACGUGCUGAGAGAAAGUGGAAAAGGACAAGCUCCAGGUCUUGUUAGAAAUCUCUGUGACUGUUUGUCAGCAGUCUGUUUACUUCUCAGAUAUUGUUUCUAAUAACAGUCACAGGCCUCAGUUUCUUUUUAACGUUUCUAAUUCAGUGGCUAAUCCCUGCUGUGAUGCUGGUCGGGCUGUGGUCUGUCCUGGACUGUUGUCACCUCAGGCAGAAGCAGGCCCAUCUGUACCUCAUCCCAACAAAGCUAUCUUUGAGACCUCGCCUUUUUAAAGUGACCUUUGACUGGGACCAACUAUUCUAGCUCUGAUAAACAGUUCUUUUGCACUUGGUUGUGUUGCAGCUGCCUAUAAACACGCUGUUGUGCAGUGUCUUAUGAAAAGAAGCUGUUCUUUCUAAUUACAGACCUAUAUCUAAAUGACCAUCUCUGUCACAGACACAGUUGUUUCUAAGUUUAUAUAAUGUGUGGUAGAGUUUGAGUCAGGUUCUAGAUCACAUAGACUGCUCUUUGCUUCUUAAUGAUCUGCUUUCAGACGUUGACUCUGGCAGUUUUCGUGCUUCUAGACUCGUCUGCUGCCUUUGACGUCCUUCUGCCUCGUCUAGAACACCAAGCUCCAAUCAAAGCCACUUCUGACGAGGUUCAUGCCUCACCAGCAGAGGUUUCUCUGUACUUGUGGGAGACUGUUCUUCUACAACAGCACCUCUCACUUUUGGAGUACCUCAGGGUCCAUUCUGGGCCCACUUCUUCUUUCACUGUGUAUAUUACCUCUUUGCUGAUGUGUGUGUG